RNAcentral lists this ribosomal RNA (468 nucleotides) under uncultured bacterium. RNAcentral describes it as "partial 16S ribosomal RNA". It matches the Rfam family "Bacterial small subunit ribosomal RNA", at positions 28 to 507 of the family's 1533-position model. The record is from RNAcentral.
GACGAACGCUGGCGGCGUGCUUAACACAUGCAAGUCGAACGGAAAGGCCCUGCUUUUGUGGGGUGCUCGAGUGGCGAACGGGUGAGUAACACGUGAGUAACCUGCCCUUGACUUUGGGAUAACUUCAGGAAACUGGGGCUAAUACCGGAUAGGAGCUCCUGCUGCAUGGUGGGGGUUGGAAAGUUUCGGCGGUUGGGGAUGGACUCGCGGCUUAUCAGCUUGUUGGUGGGGUAGUGGCUUACCAAGGCUUUGACGGGUAGCCGGCCUGAGAGGGUGACCGGCCACAUUGGGACUGAGGUACGGCCCAGACUCCUACGGGAGGCAGCAGUGGGGAAUAUUGCACAAUGGGCGGAAGCCUGAUGCAGCAACGCCGCGUGCGGGAUGACGGCCUUCGGGUUGUAAACCGCUUUCGCCUGUGACGAAGCGUGAGUGGCGGUAAUGGGUAAAGAAGCACCGGCUAACUACGUG